AGAGAGAGACAUGCGCGCAUAUCAAUAAGCGGAGGAAAAGAAAUUAACAAGGAUUCCCCUAGUAACGGCGAGUGAAGCGGGAAGAGCUCAAAUUCGAAAUCUUAAAGGGUUUCCCUUUACGAAUUGUAGUUUAAAGAAGUGUUUUCUGUUGAGGUUUUGGUAAAAGUUCUUUGGAAUAGGACAUCAUAGAGGGUGAGAAUCCCGUAUUUGACCUUUACUUUCAACUUUGUGAUACACUUUCAAAGAGUCGGAUUGUUUGGGAAUGCAGUCCAAAAUGGGUGGUAAAUUUCAUCUAAAGCUAAAUAUUGGCGAGAGACCGAUAGCGAACAAGUACCGUGAGGGAAAGAUGAAAAGAACUUUGAAAAGAGAGUUAAACAGUACGUGAAAUUGUCAAAAGGGAAGCGUUUGACACCAGUGUUGUUUUUCUGAAAAUCAAUUAAAGAACUGUUUAUGCUAAGCUGUUUAGACUUUAUCAGCUAACUGUUUAGUUUUGAGCUUUUCUUUAAUGCACUUUUCAGUUAACAAGUCAACAUCAAUUUCUUUUGCUGUAAAAAAGCUUGAGGAAGGUGGCUUGAGAUUCGUCUUAAGUGUUUAUAGCCUCUUGCCUAUGCAGUCGGAGAGAUUGAGGUCUGCAGCGUAGAUCCUUCGGGGCUAAAUGCAUUUGUGCUAAGUUAUAGCAUUUUAUAGACAACUUGUUGACUAUGAUUUGUCUUGUAGCUUACUCGCUUAUGUUAUUUUACCUACGCUAGGAUGUUGAGCGCAUGUCUCUCUCU
This 773-nucleotide ribosomal RNA is filed under the name uncultured Neocallimastigales. RNAcentral's name for it is "partial large subunit ribosomal RNA". It matches the Rfam family "Eukaryotic large subunit ribosomal RNA", at positions 23 to 616 of the family's 3401-position model. The record is from RNAcentral. Lineage: Eukaryota; Fungi; Neocallimastigomycota; Neocallimastigomycetes; Neocallimastigales.